This 1618-nucleotide ribosomal RNA is filed under the name Salmonella enterica subsp. enterica serovar Muenchen. RNAcentral describes it as "bacterial LSU rRNA". It matches the Rfam family "Bacterial large subunit ribosomal RNA", at positions 1223 to 2823 of the family's 2925-position model. Lineage: Bacteria; Pseudomonadati; Pseudomonadota; Gammaproteobacteria; Enterobacterales; Enterobacteriaceae. The record is from RNAcentral. RNAcentral also lists the same sequence under 5 other names.
GUUGGGUAGGGGAGCGUUCUGUAAGCCUGUGAAGGUGGCCUGUGAGGGUUGCUGGAGGUAUCAGAAGUGCGAAUGCUGACAUAAGUAACGAUAAAGCGGGUGAAAAGCCCGCUCGCCGGAAGACCAAGGGUUCCUGUCCAACGUUAAUCGGGGCAGGGUGAGUCGACCCCUAAGGCGAGGCCGAAAGGCGUAGUCGAUGGGAAACGGGUUAAUAUUCCCGUACUUGGUGUUACUGCGAAGGGGGGACGGAGAAGGCUAUGUUGGCCGGGCGACGGUUGUCCCGGUUUAAGCGUGUAGGUGUGUGUUCCAGGUAAAUCCGGUUCACUUUAACACUGAGGCGUGAUGACGAGGCACUACGGUGCUGAAGCAACAAAUGCCCUGCUUCCAGGAAAAGCCUCUAAGCAUCAGGUAACAUCAAAUCGUACCCCAAACCGACACAGGUGGUCAGGUAGAGAAUACCAAGGCGCUUGAGAGAACUCGGGUGAAGGAACUAGGCAAAAUGGUGCCGUAACUUCGGGAGAAGGCACGCUGACACGUAGGUGAAGUGAUUUACUCAUGGAGCUGAAGUCAGUCGAAGAUACCAGCUGGCUGCAACUGUUUAUUAAAAACACAGCACUGUGCAAACACGAAAGUGGACGUAUACGGUGUGACGCCUGCCCGGUGCCGGAAGGUUAAUUGAUGGGGUCAGCGCAAGCGAAGCUCCUGAUCGAAGCCCCGGUAAACGGCGGCCGUAACUAUAACGGUCCUAAGGUAGCGAAAUUCCUUGUCGGGUAAGUUCCGACCUGCACGAAUGGCGUAAUGAUGGCCAGGCUGUCUCCACCCGAGACUCAGUGAAAUUGAACUCGCUGUGAAGAUGCAGUGUACCCGCGGCAAGACGGAAAGACCCCGUGAACCUUUACUAUAGCUUGACACUGAACAUUGAGCCUUGAUGUGUAGGAUAGGUGGGAGGCUUUGAAGUGUGGACGCCAGUCUGCAUGGAGCCGACCUUGAAAUACCACCCUUUAAUGUUUGAUGUUCUAACGUGGACCCGUAAUCCGGGUUGCGGACAGUGUCUGGUGGGUAGUUUGACUGGGGCGGUCUCCUCCUAAAGAGUAACGGAGGAGCACGAAGGUUGGCUAAUCCUGGUCGGACAUCAGGAGGUUAGUGCAAUGGCAUAAGCCAGCUUGACUGCGAGCGUGACGGCGCGAGCAGGUGCGAAAGCAGGUCAUAGUGAUCCGGUGGUUCUGAAUGGAAGGGCCAUCGCUCAACGGAUAAAAGGUACUCCGGGGAUAACAGGCUGAUACCGCCCAAGAGUUCAUAUCGACGGCGGUGUUUGGCACCUCGAUGUCGGCUCAUCACAUCCUGGGGCUGAAGUAGGUCCCAAGGGUAUGGCUGUUCGCCAUUUAAAGUGGUACGCGAGCUGGGUUUAGAACGUCGUGAGACAGUUCGGUCCCUAUCUGCCGUGGGCGCUGGAGAACUGAGGGGGGCUGCUCCUAGUACGAGAGGACCGGAGUGGACGCAUCACUGGUGUUCGGGUUGUCAUGCCAAUGGCACUGCCCGGUAGCUAAAUGCGGAAGAGAUAAGUGCUGAAAGCAUCUAAGCACGAAACUUGCCCCGAGAUGAGUUCUCCCUGAGACUU